This 664-nucleotide ribosomal RNA is filed under the name uncultured prokaryote. RNAcentral's name for it is "bacterial SSU rRNA". It matches the Rfam family "Bacterial small subunit ribosomal RNA", at positions 28 to 710 of the family's 1533-position model. The record is from RNAcentral.
GAUGAACGCUGACAGAAUGCUUAACACAUGCAAGUCGAUUCAACUUACCUUCGGGUAUUGAGGAUGGCGGACGGGUGAGUAACGCGUAAGGAACUUGCCUCUUGGUCUGGGACAACUGUUGGAAACGACAGCUAAUACCGGAUAUUAUGAGAUUCUCGCAUGGGAAACUUAUGAAAGCUAUAUGCGCCAAGAGAGAGCCUUGCGUUCCAUUAGCUAGUUGGUGGGGUAACGGCCCACCAAGGCGACGAUGGAUAGCCGGCCUGAGAGGGUGAACGGCCACAAGGGGACUGAGACACGGCCCUUACUCCUACGGGAGGCAGCAGUGGGGAAUAUUGGACAAUGGGCCACAAGCCUGAUCCAGCAAUUCUGUGUGCACGAUGAAGGUCUUCGGAUUGUAAAGUGCUUUCAGUUGGGAAGAAGAAAGUGACGGCACCAACAGAAGAAGCGACGGCUAAAUACGUGCCAGCAGCCGCGGUAAUACGUAUGUCGCAAGCGUUAUCCGGAUUUAUUGGGCGUAAAGCGCGUCUAGGCGGAAAAAUAAGUCUGAUGUUAAAAUGCGGGGCUCAACUCCGUAUUGCGUUGGAAACUGUUUUUCUAGAGUACUGGAGAGGUGGGCGGAACUACNAGUGUAGAGGUGAAAUUCGUAGAUAUUUGUAGGAAUGCC